RNAcentral lists this ribosomal RNA (676 nucleotides) under uncultured bacterium. RNAcentral describes it as "bacterial SSU rRNA". It matches the Rfam family "Bacterial small subunit ribosomal RNA", at positions 62 to 769 of the family's 1533-position model. The record is from RNAcentral.
UCGCACGAGAAAGGGUAGCAAUACCUGGAGUAAAGUGGCGCACGGGUGAGUAACACGUGAAUAAUCUACCUCCGAGUGGGGAAUAACUGAGAGAAAUCUUAGCUAAUACCGCAUAACACUUACGAGUCAAAGCAGCAAUGCGCUUGGAGAGGAGUUCGCGGCCGAUUAGUUAGUUGGCGGGGUAAUGGCCCACCAAGACGAUGAUCGGUAUCCGGCCUGAGAGGGCGCACGGACACACUGGAACUGAAACACGGUCCAGACUCCUACGGGAGGCAGCAGUGGGGAAUUUUGCGCAAUGGGGGAAACCCUGACGCAGCAACGCCGCGUGGAGGAUGAAAUAUCUUGGUAUGUAAACUCCUUUCGAUGGGGAAGAUUAUGACGGUACCCGUAGAAGAAGCCCCGGCUAACUUCGUGCCAGCAGCCGCGGUAAUACGAGGGGGGCAAGCGUUGUUCGGAUUUAUUGGGCGUAAAGGGUGCGUAGGCGGUUUGAUAAGUCUGAUGUGAAAUCUAUGGGCUCAACCCAUAGUCUGCAUUAGAAACUGUCGGGCUUGAGUAUGGGAGAGGUGAGUGGAAUUUCCGGUGUAGCGGUGAAAUGCGUAGAUAUCGGAAGGAACACCUGUGGCGAAAGCGGCUCACUGGACCAUAACUGACGCUGAUGCACGAAAACUAGGGGAGC